Molecule: long non-coding RNA, 323 nt
Filed under: Lathyrus oleraceus (garden pea)
Lineage: Eukaryota; Viridiplantae; Streptophyta; Magnoliopsida; Fabales; Fabaceae
Description: Pisum sativum (pea) long non-coding RNA (PSAT_LNC018916)
Source: RNAcentral
UUUGUUUUGUUUGUUGUAUGUGAGGAGUCAAUUGUAAGCCCAUUUAUUGGCAUUUGUUUCCUAUGAUCAUUCUUUGGAGAUUGGUAUAAGUCCAUAGAUUGACAUCUGAUAUCCAUGUUUGUUUUAGGAGAUUGGUGUAAAUCCAUUGAUUGGUAUCCGGUAUCCAGUUUGUUUUGUGAGAUUGGUGUAAGACCAUUGAUUGGCAUCCGGUAUCCAUUUGCUUUGUCUAUUUGCUUAUUGCUCUUUUCCUAUUCCAAAGGAAUCACUUGAAUCAUUUCCAUAUGAUCUCAAGAGGUGAACACCUAAGAAGUUUUACACUCCCC